This 681-nucleotide long non-coding RNA is filed under the name Carica papaya (papaya). RNAcentral's name for it is "long non-coding RNA (CPAP_LNC002175)". The record is from RNAcentral. Lineage: Eukaryota; Viridiplantae; Streptophyta; Magnoliopsida; Brassicales; Caricaceae.
UCUCUCUCUCUCUCUAAAUCUUGAAAAAUGGAAGAAAUAGAAGUGUGAAGAGGAAGGGAAGGGGAAGGACAAUUUAUAGAAUUUUAAAACUAUUGGAUUCGUGCCAAGUGGCAAAAUCUAGAAAAGAGAGAAAAAGAUUCUUGGCACGAAAAACUAGGGAGAAAAAUUUUGUAACGGCCCCAGAAAUUUAAAUGAAAUAUGUGUAUUAAAAAUGUCUAAUGCGGAAGUGUAAUAAAAAUUUUGAUUAACAUCCCUUACACAAUAACCAAAACGUACUCAAAACAUGAAGGAACAAACUAACUAAGAGAGAUACUUGAAAUAAAAACUAUAAAUAUAACUAUAAAGUCUUUAGGCGUCCCUUUCGCCGUCUUCCUGCGGAACAGGCACGGGAACAACGUCUUCCUGAUCUGAAAUGUUUAAAUAAGGGAUGAGCUAUACCAGCCCAGUAAAGACAUCACACUAUCUCACCGCCACGGAAGUAAAGGUGGGUAGAAAACAAAAAUGACCAAUGGAGCAUAAUUUAUAACAAAUUCAUUUAUCAGUAAUAAAAUCCUUUACUGUCCACUUACCUCGGCGAGAUCCAUGAAAACAACAUAUGAAAACAAUAACCUUAUAAUAUCAUGAAAUCAUACACACUUUAUAACAUAACAUAUAUCACACCUUUACAUUUCAAUCAUCAGG